GCGCCGAUAGUAUAGUGGUAGUACCUCACCCUUCCAAGGUGAUUGCCUGGGUUCGAAUCCCAGUCGGCGCA
RNAcentral lists this transfer RNA (71 nucleotides) under Candidatus Woesearchaeota archaeon. RNAcentral describes it as "tRNA-Gly". It matches the Rfam family "tRNA". From Rfam's summary of the family: Transfer RNA (tRNA) molecules are approximately 80 nucleotides in length. Their secondary structure includes four short double-helical elements and three loops (D, anti-codon, and T loops). The record is from RNAcentral. Lineage: Archaea; Nanobdellati; Candidatus Woesearchaeota.